UGCCAGCCGCCGCGGUAAUACGAAGGGUGCUAGCGUUGUUCGGAAUCACUGGGCAUAAAGCGCACGUAGGCGGCCAAGUCAGUUCGGUGUGAAAGCCCUCGGCUCAACCGGGGAACUGCACCGAAUACUGCUUGGCUUGAGGAUGGUUGGGGUGAGUGGAACUCCUGGUGGAGCGGUGAAAUGCGUAGAUUUCAGAAGGAACACCGGUGGCGAAAGCGACUCACUGGCUCGGUUCUGACGCUGAGGUGCGAAAGUGUGGGGAGCAAACAGGAUUAGAUA
This 279-nucleotide ribosomal RNA is filed under the name uncultured bacterium. RNAcentral's name for it is "partial 16S ribosomal RNA". It matches the Rfam family "Bacterial small subunit ribosomal RNA", at positions 506 to 784 of the family's 1533-position model. The record is from RNAcentral.